CUGACUUUAAUCUCAGAAUUUUGAGGUGGGCACCUGCAGGCAUCCAUCUUCAGUGACAGGGAUGUGUCCAGGUGUGCAGGUGGAGACCUAAUUCACUAAACAUGGUGGAUAUAAGUGAUUUUCUGCGUGGCCGAGGGGUCCCCGAAGAGGCUAUUUUAUUAAUGGAAGAGCAGAAGAUUGACUGUGACGUCAUAGCACUGAUGGAUGACGCAACUUUGGCAAACUACAUUCCCUCAUACGGAGACCGAAUUGCCCUCUUCAAUUUCUG
Molecule: long non-coding RNA, 268 nt
Organism: Oreochromis niloticus (Nile tilapia)
Lineage: Eukaryota; Metazoa; Chordata; Actinopteri; Cichliformes; Cichlidae
Exons: 2
Source: RefSeq, a predicted model, not a curated record